ACGUUAUAGUAUGAUUUUAGCAAUUUUUGUGCGAUCAAAACGAUCAGAAACACUGACCCCCGGCUAUUUCAAUAUGGGUUACAUUUUGUACGCUAUGGUUGAAUACUAGUUGGGCCAGAGUAGUCUUGCCAAGACCCCCCAUCCCAAUGAUAGAGAUGAUGCGGGGAUCACUAGCCUGUUUAAUCUUAAUAUCCAUAUAUAUAUAUAUUCGGCGAUCUAAACCAAGUUUCUUCAAUACCCUCGUCUCUCAAGACAACUUAACUGAUAUCAAUUUUGGAAGGUGCUGCGACAACUCAAUUAUAUAUCACACACUCCAGAGGUCCGAAGUGCUUCUACGUGGGCUGAAGAGGUUAUACAGCGUGCCUUGGAUUGCAAAAGCGAUGACUUGGCAUAAAAGAGCCAAGUCAACCGAUAAUCUGAUGCGCCAUCCAGCUGGAUUUCAUAAGGCUAGUGCAUUUGCAUCUGAGUUUGGUAUGCAGUCUACAGUCGAAACUCCAUGAUCCAGCGCCGCUUUGCACUGGGUAUUACAGUAAUAAUUUUUUCAAGCUCCACUGGAAUUCAAGGAAUAUGCCUCCAAAGUUGGCGUAGAUUUUGUCAGAAAAAUGGCUUGUACUAUUUAUGUGCCAUCAAGUUAGAAAGAGCAGCUGAAUAUUGUAAAGUGUUUGAUUGAGAUCAUAACUAUGGCAUCCAGGAGGCUAUCAUUUUCAUCAUGGGUAUCUCUAGGGGAUAUCCUAACACUAAGUUACUGAAACACAGUUUAUAUAAUUAAUAAAUCACAUUAUUUAAAUUCUUAUUGAAGUCCAACUUUCCUGUAGCUAUCAAUCAAUUAUUGCAGUACUUUGCAUGUGGAUUAGACACCUUAGUUGAAAUCAAAGGUUUCUUGGAGAGUUUCUCAGAAGAGCCUGCUCUGGUUCAGUUACAUUUGCUUACAGUCACUAUUAAAUUAUUUUACGAAGAAUCCAACAGAAGGCCCACAAAGAAUGAUUUAGGUUUGUUGCUUCAAUGCUUGAUAUUCAUGCUUCUGCAUUUUCAAUUGCACCAUUGCAGGUAGUCCUGAAUAAUGCUACUGUUGAGACAGACAAUCCAGUUCUGCGUGAUCGGGCUAUAAUUAUUUGCAAGUCUAACACGGUAUUGCCAGGCUGUAAGUCCACAGAAAUAAUCAUUUUCAGAUAAUAAAUAUAGUGGAGAUGCCUUCAAGUCAAACACGGUAUUUGCCAGGAUUUAAAUGUUAGGAAGAACGUACAAGUUUAAGCUUCUCGCAAAAACCAUCAAAAAGGAUGGGCGACUAAAAGAUACCUUGACACUAUUAACGAAUUUAGUUUCGUUUUCUUGUAUUUGUAAAGAAAGAAAUGAUCUAAUCUUUAUCUGUUCGAUUCUUUGCUUGUUUCAAAAGCAUAUUAGUAAUGAUAUU
Molecule: RNA transcript, 1411 nt
Organism: Papaver somniferum (opium poppy)
Lineage: Eukaryota; Viridiplantae; Streptophyta; Magnoliopsida; Ranunculales; Papaveraceae
Exons: 6
Source: RefSeq, a predicted model, not a curated record